CUGGGGUGCCAUCCCGGGAGGCGGCAGGCCUCAGGUUGACAUGGCAGCGGUGGUGAGAGAUCUCCAGGAAGUUCUCCUGCAUAUCUAUCUUUAGUCCAUCUUGCUGCAAUGAAAACAACAGCAUUUUCUUGGCAUUUCAAAGAAGAACAGAAAGGAAGAGAAUGGGCAGGACAAAGAAGUCUUUGGGAGGUCCAGGGAGCCAGUUUAUCCUGCAGUCUUCAUGGCAGCUCCACAGCCAUAUGCAGAGAAAGGACAGCAGCACAGUUUUCAAAACAGAGCCACAGACGAUCAGUCCAUGGGUCCCAUACAAAAUGAAGACAGAAGUUCCAGGCUCUGGUCUGAGGUCCUCAAAAGAGAGGACCAGGGCUCCCGUGGUGGCAGAGUGGUUGAGAGUCCGCCUGCCAAUGCAGGGGACACGGGUUCCAGCCCUGGUCCGGGAGGAUCCCACAUGCCGCGGAGCAACUAAGCCCGUGUGCCACGACUACUGAGCCUGCAUGCCACAACUGCUGAAGCCCACGUGCCUACAGCCUGUGCUCUGCAACAAGAGA
Molecule: long non-coding RNA, 548 nt
Organism: Orcinus orca (killer whale)
Lineage: Eukaryota; Metazoa; Chordata; Mammalia; Artiodactyla; Delphinidae
Exons: 4
Source: RefSeq, a predicted model, not a curated record